RNAcentral lists this ribosomal RNA (200 nucleotides) under uncultured bacterium. RNAcentral describes it as "partial 16S ribosomal RNA". It matches the Rfam family "Bacterial small subunit ribosomal RNA", at positions 1301 to 1500 of the family's 1533-position model. The record is from RNAcentral.
UAGGCUGCAACUUGCCUACAUGAAGUCGGAAUCGCUAGUAAUCGCGGAUCAGCAUGCCGCGGUGAAUACGUUCCCGGGCCUUGUACACACCGCCCGUCACACCAUGAGAGUUUGUAACACCCAAAGCCGGUGGGGUAACCUUUUGGAGCCAGCCGUCUAAGGUGGGACAGAUGAUUGGGGUGAAGUCGUAACAAGGUAGC